This 71-nucleotide transfer RNA is filed under the name Camelus bactrianus (Bactrian camel). It matches the Rfam family "tRNA". Rfam says of the family: Transfer RNA (tRNA) molecules are approximately 80 nucleotides in length. Their secondary structure includes four short double-helical elements and three loops (D, anti-codon, and T loops). The record is from Rfam by way of RNAcentral. RNAcentral also lists the same sequence under 2 other names. Lineage: Eukaryota; Metazoa; Chordata; Mammalia; Artiodactyla; Camelidae.
GAGGGUCUAGCUCAGUGGUAGAGCACACGCUUAGCAUGCACGAGGUCCUGGGUUCAAUCCCCAGUCCCUCC